AAUAGAUACCCGGGUAGUCCACGCCGUAAACGAUGAGUGCUAAGUGUUAGGGGGUUUCCGCCCCUUAGUGCUGCAGCUAACGCAUUAAGCACUCCGCCUGGGGAGUACGGCCGCAAGGCUGAAAUUCAAAGGAAUUGACGGGGGCCCGCACAAGCGGUGGAGCAUGUGGUUUAAUUCGAAGCAACGCGAAGAACCUUACCAGGUCUUGACAUCUCCUGACCGCCCUGGAGACAGGGUCUUCCCUUCGGGGACAGGAUGACAGGUGGUGCAUGGUUGUCGUCAGCUCGUGUCGUGAGAUGUUGGGUUAAGUCCCGCAACGAGCGCAACCCUUGUCCUUAGUUGCCAGCAUUCAGUUGGGCACUCUAAGGAGACUGCCGGCUAAAAGUCGGAGGAAGGUGGGGAUGACGUCAAAUCAUCAUGCCCCUUAUGACCUGGGCUACACACGUGCUACAAUGGGCGGUACAGAGGGUCGCGAACCCGCGAGGGGGAGCCAAUCCCAAAAAGCCGCUCUCAGUUCGGAUUGGAGGCUGCAACUCG
Molecule: ribosomal RNA, 537 nt
Filed under: uncultured bacterium
Lineage: Bacteria
Description: bacterial SSU rRNA
Rfam family: Bacterial small subunit ribosomal RNA
Source: RNAcentral